UAGACGCCAAGUGCGUGGAUGGUCUAAGGAGACUUUAAAAUGUCUGUUUUCUUUGUUUUUAUUUAAUUACGAGCAUAUUUGUUUUGGGGGGUAAGGGACACUGCAUAAUUUAGUAUCUAACCGUUGGAACACUUUGAUCUUUUGAGACCCAAUUCCUGUAGUUAUUUGUCACCUUUUGACCAGAAGUCCAAGUUGAUAUGAGCUGAUUUGGAGAUCUAUUCAAUCUUCUAGAAAAUAGGAUCUGAGUUUCUAAAGCUGUUAUUGGACCUGAACCUCACAUUCAGCCAUUGGAUUCUCUUUAGUUUUUUGAAAUUUUAUUCAUCCGUGUUGGUAAUUCUAGGAACCCUUGGUGGUGAUUCCAAGGUUGAGGUACUGGUGGUGAUUCCAUACCUGCAGAUCAGAAACAUAGCCUCCUCACUUGAGGAGCUCAAAAGGUUGAGGACUAAUAUCAGUGAGAGUUCCAAUAUGGCAAUGGAACGAUUGAAAACCUUGGAAGAAGCUGCAUUCAAAUUUGAUAAAGUGCUUCCCAAGCAUCUUAACAAGGAAGCGAUCUGGAGUAGAUAUCUCAUCAAGUGACCGAUCCACUGCAUCAUUACUGUGUGAUUGGGCAGUCCUGGGAGGAAACAUGACUAAGUUGGGAACCCAGAAUCAUGAGAUGGCAAGUAAUUUUAAUAUUGAUCCACAUAAGCUAGAAGAAAGAAGUUAAAAAUCAAAGGUGCUGCACCUAAUAAACUAAUCCGGACUUCUAA
Macadamia integrifolia is the source of this 749-nucleotide long non-coding RNA. RefSeq lists it as uncharacterized. NCBI's taxonomy places the organism in Eukaryota, Viridiplantae, Streptophyta, Magnoliopsida, Proteales, Proteaceae. The record is from RefSeq and is a predicted model, not a curated record. The transcript has 3 exons.